GGUGGCUCCAAUAUUCAAAGGGUAUUCAUUUAUUUAUUUAUGUUUGUUGGAAGAACCUGAAUUUUGUAGAAUUGAGUGGUGGCAAACCAUCCAAUUUCCUAGCUCCAAUUGCUAAUUUGGCUAAGCAAGAAUAGCAUAUGUUCUAUGAUUAUCAUGUUGGUGUACUUUUUGCAAUUUUAGCAACUUACUGCCACCCUUUCUUGGAAAAUCAGGAUAAAG
This 219-nucleotide unclassified non-coding RNA is filed under the name Hevea brasiliensis (rubber tree). The record is from RNAcentral. Lineage: Eukaryota; Viridiplantae; Streptophyta; Magnoliopsida; Malpighiales; Euphorbiaceae.